UCCUACGGGACGCAGCAGUGAGGAAUAUUGGUCAAUGGUCGGGAGACUGAACCAGCCAAGCCGCGUGAGGGAUGAAGGUACAGAGUAUCGUAAACCUCUUUUGUCAGGGAACAAAGGCGGGGACGUGUCCCCGGAUGAGUGUACCUGAAGAAAAAGCAUCGGCUAACUCCGUGCCAGCAGCCGCGGUAAUACGGAGGAUGCGAGCGUUAUCCGGAUUUAUUGGGUUUAAAGGGUGCGCAGGCGGUCUGCUAAGUCAGCGGUCAAAGCCCGGGGCUCCACCCCGGCCCGCCGUUGAAACUUGCAGU
RNAcentral lists this ribosomal RNA (305 nucleotides) under uncultured bacterium. RNAcentral describes it as "bacterial SSU rRNA". It matches the Rfam family "Bacterial small subunit ribosomal RNA", at positions 337 to 640 of the family's 1533-position model. The record is from RNAcentral.